GGUUUGGUCCUGACUUUACUAUAAGCUUUAACCCAAUUUAUACAUGCAAGUAUCCGCACCCCUGUGAGAAUGCCCUCAAUCCCCCUACCGGGGACAAGGAGCCGGUAUCAGGCACACUAUUUAAGCCCAAGACACCUUGCUUAGCCACACCCCCAAGGGAAAUCAGCAGUAAUAAACAUUAAGCCAUAAGUGAAAACUUGACUUAGUUAAGGUUAAAAGGGCCGGUAAAAUCCGUGCCAGCCACCGCGGUUAUACGAAAGACCCCAGUUUAUAGAAACGGCGUAAAGGGUGGUUAAAGAAAAAAAUAAAAUAAAGCUAAAGAUCCCCUAAGCAGUCAUACGCUCCACGGAGACACGAAACCCAAAUACGAAAGUUGCCUUAAAUAAAAAUUUCCUGACCCCACGAAAGCUGAGAAACAAACUGGGAUUAGAUACCCCACUAUGUUCAGCCUUAAAUUUAGAUGAAAACUUUACAAAAUCAUCCGCCAGGGGACUACAAGCACAGCUUAAAACCCAAAGGACUUGGCGGUGCCUCAGAUCCACCUAGAGGAGCCUGUUCUAGAACCGAUAACCCCCGUUAAACCUCACCACCCCCUUGCCCUUCCCGCCUAUAUACCGCCGUCGCCAGCCUACCCUGUGAAGGCCCAAUAGUAAGCAAAAUGAGUUCAACCCAAAACGUCAGGUCGAGGUGUAGCGCAUGAAGUGGAAAGAAAUGGGCUACAUUUUCUAACACAGAAUACUACGAAUUAUACCCUGAAACGGGUAUCUGAAGGAGGAUUUAGCAGUAAAAAGUAAAUAGAGUGUACUUUUGAAUUAGGCUCUGAGGCGCGCACACACCGCCCGUCACUCUCCCCAUCAACACCAACUUAACUAUUUCUAAUAUUAAAAUAAUAAUUACGGGGAGGCAAGUCGUAACAUGGUAAGUGUACCGGAAGGUGCACUUGGAAUAUC
RNAcentral lists this non-coding RNA (950 nucleotides) under Rineloricaria sp. 'Araguaia'. Its description in RNAcentral is "partial 12S ribosomal RNA". It matches the Rfam family "Bacterial small subunit ribosomal RNA". Lineage: Eukaryota; Metazoa; Chordata; Actinopteri; Siluriformes; Loricariidae. The record is from RNAcentral.